AUACCACUAACACAGACAAGGCAGCAGGGGGAGACAUAGCAAUUAUAAUUUUCCAAUAAACACAACAGAUAGAAAUUUUAUAAAGUACUGUACAGAAAAAAGCUGAGGAUAUAUUUUGCUGGUCUUCCCAGUCUCCUACUGAGAAACAGAGAAAGAACAGAAACAGCAUUAGUGAAGAUGCUGUUAGGUAGCAGAUGCAGCUCUUCUAUAGGAAUUAUGAUUCUUAGUGCUGUUUUUUUAAACGUCACUUGUUCCCUAUCACCUGAGUGCACGCACAUCUGAUGCCCCAGGAUGUAUCUGCAAAGAUUCUUGACAAAUUUUUAUCAGCUCACAAGAACAAGAAUUUAAGGAGCUCCAGGCUGGACAUCUACAGUACAUUAAAAAUAACAAUGAGGGACAAGGAAGCCAGUAGCCUCUAGCAUCAUGCAGUGAAUGUUGAGGACGAUGAUGACAGCGUUCUGGCUGUUUCUCAUGAGCUGCCCAGAUCAGGACUGGAUCAAGACACCACCUUGCUUGAUGUAGAACAACAAAUGAAGUCUCUG
Long non-coding RNA from Pogona vitticeps (central bearded dragon), 542 nucleotides. RefSeq lists it as uncharacterized. Lineage: Eukaryota; Metazoa; Chordata; Lepidosauria; Squamata; Agamidae. The record is from RefSeq and is a predicted model, not a curated record.